AUUGAACGCUGGCGGCAUGCUUUACACAUGCCAGUCGAACGGUAACAGCACUUCGGUGGCUGACGAGUGGCGAACGGGUGAGUAAUACAUCGGAACGUGCCUAGUAGUGGGGGAUAACUACUCGAAAGAGUAGCUAAUACCGCAUGAGAUCUAAGGAUGAAAGCAGGGGACCUUCGGGCCUUGCGCUACUAGAGCGGCUGAUGGCAGAUUAGGUAGUUGGUGGGAUAAAAGCUUACCAAGCCGACGAUCUGUAGCUGGUCUGAGAGGACGACCAGCCACACUGGGACUGAGACACGGCCCAGACUCCUACGGGAGGCAGCAGUGGGGAAUUUUGGACAAUGGGCGCAAGCCUGAUCCAGCAAUGCCGCGUGCAGGAUGAAGGCCUUCGGGUUGUAAACUGCUUCUGUACGGAACGAAAAGCCCUCUUCUAAUACAGGAGGGUCAUGACGGUACCGUAAGAAUAAGCACCGGCUAACUACGUG
This 482-nucleotide ribosomal RNA is filed under the name uncultured bacterium. Its description in RNAcentral is "partial 16S ribosomal RNA". It matches the Rfam family "Bacterial small subunit ribosomal RNA", at positions 30 to 507 of the family's 1533-position model. The record is from RNAcentral.